AAAAACAUAGCCCAGGGAAAAUAUCCUGGGUGCGCCCUGCCCAGUGAACACUUGGUUUUAACGGCCGCAGUACCCUGACUGUGCUAAGGUAGCAUAAUCAGUUGGCUUUUAAUUGAAGUCUGGAAUGAACGGGUUUAUUGGGGUCUACUGUCUCCUUAUUAUUGAUUAUAAAUUAUACUAGGGGUGAAAAUACCCCUAUAAAAAGAAAGGACGAGAAGACCCUAGGAGUCUAUAUUAAUGAUAAAUGGUAGUUUUCUAAAUUUUUGUUGGGGCGACAAGGGGCCAACAGAACGCUCCUAUGGGUAUAAAUUACCUGCCGGAUUUUUCAAGACCGAAAAGACUACCCUAGGGAUAACAGCUUAAUACUAACAUGUGUUUGAGACCUCGAUGUUGGACUAGGGACCAUAAGACUAGCAGUCUUUUUGGCCGGUUCUGUUCGAACCCACGACCCUACGUGAUCUG
Molecule: ribosomal RNA, 462 nt
Filed under: Pedipes jouani
Lineage: Eukaryota; Metazoa; Mollusca; Gastropoda; Ellobiida; Ellobiidae
Description: partial 16S ribosomal RNA
Rfam family: Bacterial large subunit ribosomal RNA
Source: RNAcentral